CCCGCUGAACUUAAGCAUAUCAAUAAGCGGAGGAAAAGAAACUAACAAGGAUUCCCCUAGUAACUGCGAGUGAAGCGGGAAGAGCUCAAAUUUGAAAUCUGGCAGCUCUCUGAACUGUCCGAGUUGUAAUCUAGAGAAGUGUUACCUGUGCUGGACCGUGUACAAGUCUCCUGGAAUGGAGCGUCACAGAGGGUGAGAAUCCCGUCUUUGACACGGACUGCCUGCAUGUUUAUGGUGCGCUCUCAAAGAGUCGAGUUGUUUGGGAAUGCAGCUCAAAAUGGGUGGUAAAUGCCAUCUAAAGCUAAAUAUUGGCGAGAGACCGAUAGCGAACAAGUACCGUGAGGGAAAGAUGAAAAGAACUUUGGAAAGAGAGUUAAACAGUACGUGAAAUUGCUGAAAGGGAAACGCUUGAAGUCAGUCGCGUCGGCUAGAAAUCAACCUUGCUUUUGCUUGGUGUACUUUCUUGUUGAUGGGUCAGCAUCAAUUUUGACCGUUGGAUAAAGUCGUUGGGAAUGUGGCAUCUUAGGAUGUGUUAUAGCCCAUUGUCGCAUACAGCGGUUGGGAUUGAGGAACUCAGCACGCCUUUAUGGUCGGGGUAGCAACCCACGUAACGCGCUCAGGAUGCUGGCAUAAUGGCUUUAAGCGACCCGUCUUGAAACACGG
Molecule: ribosomal RNA, 663 nt
Filed under: uncultured fungus
Lineage: Eukaryota; Fungi
Description: eukaryotic LSU rRNA
Rfam family: Eukaryotic large subunit ribosomal RNA
Source: RNAcentral